UGGGGAAUUUUCCGCAAUGGGCGAAAGCCUGACGGAGCAACGCCGCGUGAGGGAUGAAGGCCUCUGGGCUGUAAACCUCUUUUCUCAAGGAAGAAGAUCUGACGGUACUUGAUGAAUAAGCCACGGCUAAUUCCGUGCCAGCAGCCGCGGUAAUACGGGAGUGGCAAGCGUUAUCCGGAAUUAUUGGGCGUAAAGCGUCCGCAGGCGGCCUUGAAAGUCUGUCGUUAAAGCGUGGAGCUUAACUCCAUUUGAGCGAUGGAAACUGCAAGACUAGAGUGUGGUAGGGGCAGAGGGAAUUCCCGGUGUAGCGGUGAAAUGCGUAGAUAUCGGGAAGAACACCAGUGGCGAAGGCGCUCUGCUGGGCCAUAACUGACGCUCAUGGACGAAAGCCAGGGGAGCGAAAGGGAUUAGAUACCCCUGUAGUC
RNAcentral lists this ribosomal RNA (425 nucleotides) under uncultured cyanobacterium. RNAcentral's name for it is "bacterial SSU rRNA". It matches the Rfam family "Bacterial small subunit ribosomal RNA", at positions 355 to 795 of the family's 1533-position model. Lineage: Bacteria; Bacillati; Cyanobacteriota. The record is from RNAcentral.